UCGCUGCCCAGGACUGAGCCAUUUCGAGAAGAAUGGGGACUGCUGUUGGAGGGCCUUUGUGGGCUUUCCUUCUGGCGGAAACCGUUUUGAUCGCAGUGGCUUGAACUGGGCAA
Molecule: ribosomal RNA, 113 nt
Filed under: uncultured eukaryote
Lineage: Eukaryota
Description: partial small subunit ribosomal RNA
Source: RNAcentral